AAAAGACUUAGUCCUAACCUUACUGUUGGUUGUUGCUAGAUUUAUACAUGCGAGUAUCCGCAUUCCAGUGUAGACGCCCUGGGUACCCUAAUCUUAGGUCGACAGGAGCAGGUAUCAGGCACACACCCUCUCCCCCCGUAGCCCAAAACGCCUCGCAAUUGCCACGCCCCCACGGGUAUUCAGCAGUAAUUAAUAUUAAGCAAUGAGUGAAAACUUGACUUAGUCAUAGCAAUUUAGGGUCGGUAAAUCCUGUGCCAGCAACCGCGGUCAUACAGGAGACCCAAAUUAACAUUAUAACGGCGUAAAGAGUGGUCACAUGUUAUCCAAGUAGCUAAGACUAAAAAGUAUCUAAGCUGUCAUAAGCCCAUGAUGCUCAUAAGGCCUCCCCUUAAAGAAGAUCUUAGAACAACGAUUAAUUGAAUUCCACGAAAGCCAGGGCCCAAACUGGGAUUAGAUACCCCACUAUGCCUGGCCCUAAAUCUUGAUGCUCGAUCUUACCGGAGCAUCCGCCCGAGAACUACGAGCGCAAACGCUUAAAACUCUAAGGACUUGGCGGUGUCCCAAACCCACCUAGAGGAGCCUGUUCUGUAAUCGAUGAUCCACGAUAUACCUGACCAUUCCUUGCCAAAUCAGCCUAUAUACCGCCGUCGCCAGCCCACCCAGCAUGAAGGCCCAACAGUGGACGCAAUAGCCCAACCGCGCUAAUAAGACAGGUCAAGGUAUAGCCUAUGGAAUGGAAGUAAUGGGCUACAUUUUCUAAAAUAGAACAUCACGGCAAAGGGAUAUGAAAUUGUCUCUGGAAGGCGGAUUUAGCAGUAAAGUGGGACAAUCGAGCCCUCUUUAAGCCGGCUCUGGGGCACGUACAUACCGCCCGUCACCCUCCUCAAAAGCGACCCCCCCCCCAUAAAA
RNAcentral lists this non-coding RNA (909 nucleotides) under Horornis vulcanius. Its description in RNAcentral is "12S ribosomal RNA". It matches the Rfam family "Bacterial small subunit ribosomal RNA". The record is from RNAcentral. Lineage: Eukaryota; Metazoa; Chordata; Aves; Passeriformes; Scotocercidae.